Molecule: ribosomal RNA, 253 nt
Filed under: uncultured bacterium
Lineage: Bacteria
Description: partial 16S ribosomal RNA
Rfam family: Bacterial small subunit ribosomal RNA
Source: RNAcentral
UACAGAGGGCUCAAGCGUUGUUCGGAUUCAUUGGGCGUAAAGGGUGCGUAGGUGGCAUGGUAAGUCGGAUGUGAAAUCCCGGGGCUCAACCCCGGAACUGCAUUCGAUACUGCUGCGCUAGAGUACUGGAGAGGAGAUUGGAAUUUACGGUGUAGCAGUGAAAUGCGUAGAUAUCGUAAGGAAGACCAGUGGCGAAGGCGGAUCUCUGGACACUUACUGACACUGAGGCGCGAAAGCGUGGGGAUCAAACAGG